Molecule: long non-coding RNA, 743 nt
Filed under: Actinidia chinensis (golden kiwifruit)
Lineage: Eukaryota; Viridiplantae; Streptophyta; Magnoliopsida; Ericales; Actinidiaceae
Description: long non-coding RNA (ACHI_LNC009400)
Source: RNAcentral
GACAUAAAAGCACCCCUCGUGCAACAGCUUGGAAAGUGACUCGAAAAUUUCGUAUUUGGAAAGACAAGGAAACUCAUACCAAUUCGAUUCUGAUACUGUUACAGGCACUUGAAUAAAAUCCUAAAUGGAACAAAGAAAAAAAAAAAACAGCUCCACCUUAGACAGUUAAUCUUUUUUGCUUUCUCAAUGUAAUCCUCACAACGCCAGUGGAUACUGGAAACAAGCGCGUCAACACCUGCAGAUCAAUUCGGAGGUUUUUCACCGUUCUUGAACCUUGAAAGAACUUCAUAGUAUGGCUCACGGCUCGUUAUCCAUGCAGAUUCCGACCUCGAUAGAAAGACCUAGCUCUGCGAGGCGAAAUGAAAGAGGGAUAAUUUAGGUAAUUUGCACUGACCUUGUAAAUGAUUCACUUACGCUCCUUUCAUUACUAAUCCACGUGAAAUAGUGACGAAAAUCGAUCACAUAUUGUCCAUGUGCUUCAAUUAUAUGCCUUUAUGUCCAAAAUAUCUUUAUUUAAAAACCUAUUAAUAAGGGUUGUGUUUGUUCUCCCAUUGGAUUGCAUAAGUUUGUAUAUGAAAUAUUGACUUAUUUAUCACAAAAAAUAAUAAUAUUUUGGAUAUAAUGGCAUGUAAUUGAAGCACGUGAACAACAUGUGAUCGAUUUCUAUUACUAUUUCGAACAGAUUAAUAACAGAUGGGGUUAUAUAAUUAAAUAGUUAAAGAAAUUAAUACGAUUUACAUUUU